This 497-nucleotide ribosomal RNA is filed under the name uncultured bacterium. Its description in RNAcentral is "partial 16S ribosomal RNA". It matches the Rfam family "Bacterial small subunit ribosomal RNA", at positions 28 to 507 of the family's 1533-position model. The record is from RNAcentral.
GAUGAACGCUGGCGGCGUGCCUAAUACAUGCAAGUCGAGCGAACGGACGAGAAGCUUGCUUCUCUGAUGUUAGCGGCGGACGGGUGAGUAACACGUGGAUAACCUACCUAUAAGACUGGGAUAACUUCGGGAAACCGGAGCUAAUAACGGAUAAUAUUUUGAACCGCAUGGUUCAAAAGUGAAAGACGGUCUUGCUGUCACUUAUAGAUGGAUCCGCGCUGCAUUAGCUAGUUGGUAAGGUAACGGCUUACCAAGGCAACGAUGCAUAGCCGAUCUGAGAGGGUGAUCGGCCACACUGGAACUGAGACACGGUCCAGACUCCUACGGGAGGCAGCAGUAGGGAAUCUUCCGCAAAGGGCGAAAGCCUGACGGAGCAACGCCGCGUGAGUGAUGAAGGUCUUCGGAUCGUAAAACUCUGUUAUUAGGGAAGAACAUAUGUGUAAGUAACUGUGCACAUCUUGACGGUACCUAAUCAGAAAGCCACGGCUAACUACGUG